UAACACAUGGAUAACUGUGGUAAUUCUAGAGCUAAUACAUGCUAAAAACCUCGACUUCGGAAGGGGUGUAUUUAUUAGAUUAAAAACCAAUGCCCUUCGGGGCUCUUUGGUGAUUCAUGAUAACUUAACGAAUCGCAUGGCCUUGCGCCGGCGAUGGUUCAUUCAAAUUUCUGCCCUAUCAACUUUCGAUGGUAAGAUAGAGGCUUACCAUGGUGUCGACGGGUAACGGGGAAUUAGGGUUCGAUUCCGGAGAGGGAGCCUGAGAAACGGCUACCACAUCCAAGGAAGGCAGCAGGCGCGCAAAUUACCCAAUGCUCAUCGAGCGAGGUAGUGACGAUACAUACUGAUACAGAGCUCUUUUGGGUUUUGUAAUUGGAAUGAGUACAAUCUAAAUCCCUUAACGAGGAACAAUUGGAGGGCAAGUCUGGUAAACUCUGGUGCUAGACUGUCCCCAGCAGUGGGCGUUGAUCGCCUGCGAGGUAUCUGGUACGGGGAAGUCUUUUGUGAAGCUAUCCCGUGGAGUGCAUCUCCGUAACGCCCGGAAAGAUAUCGAUGAUGGAGGUCAUCCCAGGUACGUGCUAAAUCAUGUCAGUGAUGACGGUGAUAAUUAUGGCCAGCAGCCGCGGUAAUUCCAGCUCCAAUAGCGUAUAUUAAAGUUGUUGCGGUUAAAAAGCUCGUAGUUGAACCUUGGGCUUGGCUGGCCGGUCCGCCUCACCGCGUGUACUGGUCCGGCCGAGCCUUUCCUUCUGGGGAAUCUCAUGCCCUUUACUGGGUGUGUUGGGGAACCAGGACUUUUACUUUGAAAAAAUUAGAGUGUUCAAAGCAGGCCUAUGCUCGAAUACAUUAGCAUGGAAUAAUAGAAUAGGACGGCAGUUCUAUUUUGUUGGUUUCUAGGACCGCCGUAAUGAUUAAUAGGGAUAGUCGGGGGCAUCAGUAUUGAAUUGUCAGAGGUGAAAUUCUUGGAUUUAUUCAAGACUAACUACUGCGAAAGCAUUUGCCAAGGAUGUUUUCAUUAAUCAGUGAACGAAAGUUAGGGGAUCGAAGACGAUCAGAUACCGUCGUAGUCUUAACCAUAAACUAUGCCAACU
RNAcentral lists this ribosomal RNA (1088 nucleotides) under Dactylospora sp. KLP-2013. RNAcentral describes it as "bacterial SSU rRNA". It matches the Rfam family "Eukaryotic small subunit ribosomal RNA", at positions 133 to 1047 of the family's 1831-position model. Lineage: Eukaryota; Fungi; Ascomycota; Eurotiomycetes; Sclerococcales; Dactylosporaceae. The record is from RNAcentral.